CCAUUCAAAGGAGGCAGCAGGCGCGCAAUUACCCAAUCCUGACUCAGGGAGGUAGUGACAAGAAAUAACAAUAAACCGGCUUAUGCCGGUUUAAUUGGAAUGAGUACAAUUUAAACAUCUUAACGAGGAACAAUUGGAGGGCAAGUCUGGUGCCAGCAGCCGCGGUAAUUCCAGCUCCAAUAGCGUAUACUAAAGUUGUUGCAGUUAAAAAGCUCGUAGUUGGAUUUCUGUGGGGACGGAGCGGCCGGCCGCACAUCGCGGUUCGAGCUAGCGCUUUCCCUACAUCCUGCCGCGAACCGUGCUACCAUUAGUUUGGUGGCGCCGGGGAUCGGCUCGAUUACUUUGAGAAAAAUAGAGUGUUCAAAGCAGGCCACAUGCCUUGAAUAAGUUAGCAUGGAAUAAUAACUAAGGACUUCGGUUCUAUUUUGUUGGUGUUCGGGACUGAAGUAAUGAUUGAUAGGGACAGUUGGGGCGGUCUGUAUUCCAAAGCGAGAGGUGAAAUUCUUAGACCUUCGGAAGACAAACAGCUGCGAAAGCGUUCCGCAAGGAUGUUCCCUUUGAUCAAGAACGAAAGUUGGGGGAGCGAAGACGAUCAGAUACCGUCGUAGUCUCAACUAUAAACUAUACCAGCUAGGGAUCGGCCAACGUUAUUUCAAACCGACUUGGUCGGCACCUUAUGAGAAAUCAAAGCAUCUGGGUUCCGGGGGGAGUAUGGUCGCAAGGCUGAAACUUAAAGGAAUUGACGGAAGGGCACCACCAGCCGUGGAGCCUGUGGCUUAAUUUGACUCAACACGGGAAAACUUACCAGGUCCAGACAUAGUAAGGAUUGACAGAUUGAUAGCUCUUUCUUGAUUCUGUGGGUGGUGGUGCAUGGCCGUUCUUAGUUGGUGGAGUGAUUUGUCUGGUUAAUUCCGUUAACGAACGAGACCCCAGCCUGCUAAAUAGCGCGCGUGAGCUUUGCUCGCGGCGAGCUUCUUAGAGGGACUAUGAUGCGCGAUAGCACAUGGAAGUUUGGGGCAAUAACAGGUCUGUGAUGCCCUUAGAUGUUCUGGGCCGCACACGGGCUACACUGGCGCCUGCAACGAGCAUAUCAGCUGGUCCGAGAGGAUCUUGGCUAAUCUUUUGAACCGGCGCCGUGCUUGGGAUUGACCUUUGCAAUUGUUGGUCAUGCAACGAGGAAUGCCUUGUAAACGCGAGUCAUCAGCUCGCAUUGAAUACGUCCCUGCCCUUUGUACACACCGCCCGUCGCUCCUACCGAUGAAUGUUCCGAUGAAAUUUUCGGAGAGUGCCUGUGAACUUGGCUCUGCCUUGCGAACGGGAAGCUCAAAGUCACUUAAAUCUGAACCUUA
Molecule: ribosomal RNA, 1349 nt
Filed under: uncultured marine eukaryote
Lineage: Eukaryota
Description: SSU rRNA
Rfam family: Eukaryotic small subunit ribosomal RNA
Source: RNAcentral